CACUUCCUCCCCUUCUCUCCUGUCCCCUCCUCCUCCUCGUCUCUCUCCGCUCGCCGCCUCCUCCAAACAACACGGCGUUCCUACAUCUGCCGACAACAUGGAGGCAGUCAAAACCUUUAACAGCGAGUUAUACUCGCUCAAUGACUACAAGCCUCCAAUUUCCAAGGCCAAAAUGACACAGAUUACAAAGUCUGCAAUUAAAGCCAUAAAGUUCUACAAGCAUGUUGUUCAGGGCGUUGAGAAAUUUAUCCAAAAGUGUAAACCUGAAUACAAAGUACCUGGACUCUAUGUUAUUGACUCCAUUGUUCGGCAGUCCAGACAUCAGUUUGGACAAGAGAAGGAUCUUUUUGCUCCUCGGUUUAGCAAUAACAUAAUAAACACUUUUCAGAAUUUGUAUCGCUGCCCAGCAGAUGACAAGAGCAAAAUUGUAAGAGUACUGAACCUGUGGCAGAAGAAUAACGUGUUCAGGAGUGAAAUUAUUCAGCCGCUUUUGGAUAUGGCUGCUGGCAUUCCUCCCCCUGUUGUCACGCCUGUCUUUCCCAGUACUGCAGCAGCUGUUAGCAACACACCAGGCACCCCAGCAACCCCUGUUACCCCAGCAAAUGUAAUUCAAGGCAUACCUGAUCCAUGGAUUGCUCAGAUAACCAAUACAGAUACCAUUGCAGCAGUGGCACAGAUUUUACAAAGCCCCCAGGGACAGCAGCUUCAGCAGUUGGUUCAGUCGUUGCAUGUCCAGCAACAGAAGCCACAACCCUCACUUCUACAAGCUCUAGAUGCUGGCUUAGUGGUUCAGUUGCAAGCCCUUACAGCUCAGCUAACAGCGGCAGCUGCUGCCUCGAACACACUCAACCCACUGGAGCAAAGUGUAUCUCUCAGUAAGAAGCUGAUAGACCGGUUUGAUUUUGGGGAGGAGAAUUCACAGAAUGAGGACUCAAAAAAGGAUGGUUCACAAAUUCCGCUUGUACCAGAUUCUGUGAACAACUCACUUUUCCAUCAGCUUGCAGAACAUUUACAGCAGCAAAAUCUAGAACAUCUACGCCACCAAUUCUUGGAGCAGCAGCAUACUCCAAAGAUGACAGCUCAGGAAAACCAGGAUAUGAUGUCUGAAUCAGAAAAUUCUGCUACCCCAUCGCAGGAUGACAGCCAGCAAGCCUUUAUGGAGAAAGAGGCACAGCUUCAUACGUCGCUAUCAAUACAGCAAGAGGAUAUGGAUAUUGAAGAAAUGCAAGAUGUGACAGAAGAGAUGUUUGAAAAGGAAGAGAAGAAAAUGAUAAAAGAUGAAAAACCAAGGGUUCGUUCCAAAUCACGAUCUAGAUCACCCAGAAAAAGGCGUUCUAGAUCCCGUUCAGGAUCCAGGAAGCGCAAGCAUCGAAAACGUUCUCGUUCAAGGUCAAGGGAAAGAAAACGUAAGACUUCCAGGUCAUACUCAAGUGAGAGAAGAGCACGAGAGCGAGAAAAAGAACGAAUGAAAAAAGGACUGCCUCCGAUUCGAUCCAAAACUCUAAGUGUGUGCAGCACAACCUUAUGGGUGGGACAGGUUGAUAAAAAGGCGACUCAACAAGACCUGACCAAUGUUUUUGAAGAGUUUGGACAAAUUGAAUCUAUCAAUAUGAUUCCUCCCCGUGGUUGUGCAUAUGUCUGCAUGGUUCACAGGCAAGACGCAUACCGGGCUCUUCAGAAGCUGAGUUCGGGCUCUUGUAAGAUCGGAUCUAAAAUUAUUAAGAUCGCUUGGGCGUUGAAUAAAGGUGUGAAGACUGAGUACAAGCAGUUCUGGGAUGUGGAUCUUGGCGUCACAUACAUACCAUGGGAGAAAGUAAAGCUGGAUGAUUUAGAUGACUUUGCAGAAGGAGGAAUGAUUGAUCAGGAGACUGUUAAUAGUGAAUGGCAAGCACAGAGGAUCCCAGAGCCUGUUGUAGUGAAGGAGCCUGUCCCCGUCCCUACUACUACAGUGCAGAGUCCAAUUGUUCAAAAAACCUCCAUAAUAACAACACAGCCAGAGGCAUAUAACCCACCCGUCGCAAUGCUUCAGAUUCCUGUGACACCAACUGUCCCUGCUGUAAGCUUGGUACCGCCUGCCUUCCCCAUCUCCAUGGCUGUCCCACCACCAGGCUUCACCGCUCUUCACCCUCCUCCUUUUAUGCGUGCAAGUUUUAACCCUAGUCAGCCACCUCCAGGCUAUAUGCCUCCACCUGUUCCACCACCCACUAUUCCCCCACCUUCUAUGGGCUCAGCUAUUCCUACAGCCUUGGUUCCUCGACUGCCCAUGUCUACAGACAGCAUUAAAGAAGUGUCGUAUGGUGGGAUGAUGCUGCCUAUGCCAUCAGUUGUAACCACUUCAGUAUCUACACCAUCUGUCUUUAAUACUUCCUUAAGUACGCAAGCAGACCAGGAAGGAAAAAGAGUACCUCCAACAGAGAGUGCCAAUGAAAGAACUGCUGCAACUUCAACACAAAGUACAGUUGUUAGCAGUACUGGGAUCUUAGGAGUGCAGCCACAACAUAUUACAACAUCUGUUCCUCCUUUAACUAUGGGUGGAAGAAUAGCAGCCAUGCCUUUUUUGGAUAUUCGUCCUGGGUUACUUCACCAACCAGCAACAGCAAGAUUUGCUUUACUAACUCCAGCGAUGCCCCCACCGCCACCACCAAGGAGCAUGCUUCCUCCAGGACUUAUUGAUCCUACUGUACAUUCUCUUCCAUUCACACAAGCAGAGAUUUUUCCCCGUCACACUAUUCCCCCUAGACUAAAUAAUGAUAAUGCUCUGCCUCAAGAAGAAGGCAUCGCCCUGCAAAGCAGCAACAUUCGCCAAGAAAGAGAUCAGGACUACCGCUUCCCUCCCAUAGAAAGUCGUGAGACUGUGGGUCACUCUUCAGGAGGUGAACAGAAAAAAGAGGGCAUGCCGUUAGUUGCUAGCCAGGAAAAUGAAGGUGUAAGCUCUGCAGAGGACAUUGAUAUUAAUAUUAGACAUAUAGAGGAUGACCAUGAACCACAGGACAUGGCGGUUGUUGAUCCAAGUGAGGGUCAGGAGAAAAUUGUUACAGGACCUAUUUUAGGACAGUUGUCUCCAGAAGGUGCACAUAAAGACGAAAGGGAAGAUGAAAUGCAUUCUCUUGAAAGUCUAAGAGGUCCUGACCAUCAUUCUUUUGAAAACAAGCUAAAAAAUGUUCCUGAUGAUCAUGAAGUACCAAUAAGACCACAGUUAGAUCCCAGACAACAUUUUGGCAGCCCCCCAGCAGAUUUAUUACUACCCUUUGGGAGACAUCCUCUUGAGAUUAGAGAAACAUUUGGCAGACCACCACUAGAGGGUAGAGAUCAUUAUGGGAGACCACCCCCAGAGGGUAGGGAUCACCUUGGCAGACCUCCUGUGGAUGGUAGAGAUCACUAUGGACGCCCAAUUUUAGAGGGUAGAAACUCCUUUGGACGUUUACCAGUGGAUGGUAGAGAGAUCUUUGGAAGGCCACCAUUAGAUAUGCGGGAUCAUUUUGGAAGGCCUCCUUCAGAUAUUGGUAGAAGGGAGCAUUUUCCCCCAGAUAAACCAUGGGGCCAUAGAGGCGAUUUUGAUGAAAGACCACACCUGUCUUUCACUGGUUUUGGUGGCCAAAAGGGCUUUCCUGAUGACAGACCUUCUCGUCAUGGAAAUUAUCGGCAUGAGCAGAGGAAUGCGCCAGGUUGGAACAGAGGAUUUGAAUCUGAUGGUCACAGGGAUUAUGAUGACCGCCGUCGUUCUUGGGAAAGACAUAGGGAUAGGGAUGAUCGAGAUUUUGGUUUCCGCAGAGAAGUUAAUGGCAACCGAUUUGGAAGAGAGAGACAAACAAGCAACUGGAUGCCACCUCAGCAGCAAUAUUUUGAAUAUUUCCCAGAGGCUACUACCACCAAGGAAAAAGCUGAUGAGGUGUCUCAGGUUAAUGGUGAAAAGCCAGAGACUGAGAGUCAACAACAAACUCUUAAAAAUGCUAAUGAACCUGAACUGUGUGAAAAGGAAACCCCUGACAAAAAGAAUGAAGAGAAAGGUGCCGUGGAGGCUGAAGUAAAGAGUCAACCAGUUGUUGAAAGCACAGAAACUGAGGGGACAUAAUCAUCACUCAGUAGGUGGUAUUUGUUUCUUGGAAGACAGAAGGAAAAUUGUGGAAUGAGAGUCAACACCAACAUGGCUGAGAUAAACCAUGGUCACGUUGAUCAUGAUGCAAUGGAGACAAAUGGAAAGACAAGCACGCUGAAAAAGAUAUUGGGUUCAUCCAAUUACCUCAGCACGAUUCACAAGAGGCGUAUUCUCCACUUUAUAUCAAGAUCUUCGCUGUCAAUCUGAAAAAUGUUUGGAUUAUCUACGGAUGAGUGUGUCAAGCUUUGAUGAGCUUGUGCAGAAACUUCACCUACGUAGAAGGAAUACCAAAUUCAGACUAAGUGUGUCACCCGAAGAAUGCUUAAUGGUUAUCCUAAGGUUUCCUUGCCACUGGAGAAAGUCUAUCAAGUCUUCACUUUCAGUUCCGUCUGGGUAAAUCAACCAUUUCCUACAUAGUACAAGACACGUGUAAAGCAAUAUGGGAUCUGCUUCAUGGUGAUUACAUUCCACACCCAACAACACAACAGUGGAAUGAAAUAGCGGCAAAAUUUGAUGAUAACUCAAUUUCCCAACUGCCUUAGAGCAGUUCAUGGUAAACAUGUUCGGAUUUUAAAACCUCCGGGAAGUGGUUCAUUGUAUUUUAACUAUAAAAAAUAUUGAUCAGUAAUUUUGAUGGCCAUCACGGAUGCGCAGUACAAAUUUGUGGCAGUGGAUAUUGGAGCCUACGGCCGGACCAACGACUCUAAAGUCUUUAAAAACUGUAAUAUGGGUCGUAGAGUAUACUCCGGUAACUUUGGUUUCCCCAAUCCGCAUCCUUUACCAGGAACAACUGAACCUAAUAUGCCAUUUGUGUUGGUUGGCGAUGAGGCCUUCCAAAUGUCUGGUAAUCUGCUGAGACCGUAUGCAAAUCGUGGACUAAAUGAUCGUAAAAGAAUCUUUAACUACAGACUCACAAGGGGACGGCGUAUGGUCGAAUGUGCGUUUGGGAUACUGACCAACUGAUGGAGAAUAUUCACCAGACCUAUUCAAUUGAAAACAGACUGUAUUGAUGAUGUUAUUAAAGCCUGCGUCAUACUUCAUAACUAUUGCCUAACACAUGAACCGUUGAAUAUUGACUCCGUGCCCUCAGUGUCUGACACUACACAAGAAAAUGCCACUGGUCCACGUUCAACCACAGCUGUUAACCGUAUGCGGGACAGCUUUGCCCAAUAUUUUAUGUCCCCUGCUGGUUCUGUUCCUUUGCAGGAACAAAUGAUAUAAAUACGUACAGUAACAAAUUCUUGUAAUAAUUUUUUUGGUAAUGACAAUGAUGGAGAUUUCUCAAACUGGUUUAAAGUAGAAAUGGCUUGGUUACCCAUAGCAACCAAUCAGAUUCCAACUUUCAGUUUUUCGCAUCUACUUUGGAAAAUGAAAGGUGGAAUCUGAUUGGUUUCUAUGGGUAACCAAGUCAUUUCUUCUUUACACCAGUUCGAGAGAUCUCCCCCAAUGUAUGUAUGUAGCAGAGUACAAUUGGUGAGUUUUCACAUGCUUUAUGGCUGUGAUUGAGUUACUCUGCUGCAUCUGUAUAUGUGAAUAUCACGUCAGCUAUGUUCCUCAUUAUGGUUGUUGUGGAGAGGGGUGUCACCUGGGAAAAAAUAAUGCACCAUGUGUCAGCAUUAUGGUGUUUUAGGACUGUUGCACAAAAGCAAGUUGAUUUGGUGAAUCCUCCAUUCUGGUCUGUAGGAGAGCAAGGCAUUAUCGCUAUUGAUAAUCCUAUGUGCCUCUGCAUUAUUUUUACUUAGGGUCAAUUUACACGUCCGCAAUUUCGUUCCGCAUUUUGCGGAACGGAAUUGCUGACCCAUUCAUUUUCUAUGGG
Bufo bufo (common toad) is the source of this 5912-nucleotide RNA transcript. It is a transcript of the gene named SR-related CTD associated factor 8, with no coding region annotated. The record is from RefSeq and is a predicted model, not a curated record. The transcript is spliced from 23 exons. Lineage: Eukaryota; Metazoa; Chordata; Amphibia; Anura; Bufonidae.